RNAcentral lists this ribosomal RNA (253 nucleotides) under uncultured bacterium. RNAcentral's name for it is "partial 16S ribosomal RNA". It matches the Rfam family "Bacterial small subunit ribosomal RNA", at positions 524 to 776 of the family's 1533-position model. The record is from RNAcentral.
UACGUAGGGUGCAAGCGUUAAUCGGAAUUACUGGGCGUAAAGCGUGCGCAGGCGGUGAUGUAAGACAGGUAUGAAAUCCCCGGGCUUAACCUGGGAACUGCAUUUGUGACUGCAUCGCUGGAGUGCGGCAGAGGGGGAUGGAAUUCCGCGUGUAGCAGUGAAAUGCGUAGAUAUGCGGAGGAACACCGAUGGCGAAGGCAAUCCCCUGGGCCUGCACUGACGCUCAUGCACGAAAGCGUGGGGAGCAAACAGG